This 660-nucleotide ribosomal RNA is filed under the name uncultured bacterium. RNAcentral's name for it is "bacterial SSU rRNA". It matches the Rfam family "Bacterial small subunit ribosomal RNA", at positions 8 to 694 of the family's 1533-position model. The record is from RNAcentral.
AGAGUUUGAUCCUGGCUCAGGACGAACGCUGGCGGUGUGCUUCACACAUGCAAGUCGAACGGGGUAGCAAUACCCAGUGGCGGACGGGUGAGUAACACGUGGGAAUCUACCAUUAGAUGGGGAAUAACAGGCCGAAAGGACUGCUAAUGCCGCAUAUGUAUGUGCCUCGACAGGGGCGUAUAUGAAAGGAGUAAUCCGUCUGAUGAUGAGCCCGCGUCCGAUUAGCUAGUUGGUAGGGUAAAAGCCUACCAAGGCGACGAUCGGUAGGUGGUCUGAGAGGAUGAUCACCCACAAUGGGACUGAGACACGGCCCAUACUCCUACGGGAGGCAGCAGUGGGGAAUUUUGUGCAAUGGGGGAAACCCUGACACAGCGACACCGCGUGAGCGAAGAAGCCCUUUGGGGUGUAAAGCUCUGUCAACGGGAACGAAAAAAAUGACGGUACCCGUGGAGGAAGCAUCGGCUAACUACGUGCCAGCAGCCGCGGUAAGACGUAGGAUGCAAGCGUUGUCCGGAUUUAUUGGGCGUAAAGAGUUCGUAGGCUGUUUGUUAAGUCUGAUGUUAAAGACUGGGGCUCAACCUCGGAAAUGCAUUGGAUACUGGCAGACUGGAGUGCAGUAGAGGCUAGUGGAAUUCCCAGUGUAGCGGUGAAAUGCGUAGA